CCCUUAGAUGUUCUGGGCCGCACGCGUGCUACACUGAAUGGUUCAAUGGGUAAGGUAGUGCGAAAGCAUGACCUAAUCUCGAAAUCCGUUCGUGCUGGGGAUAGAAGCUUGCAAUUAUCCUUCUUGAACGAGGAAUACCUUGUAAGCGUGAGUCAUCAUCUCACGCUGAAUACGUCCCUGCCCUUUGUACACACCGCCCGUCGCUCCUACCGAUUGAGUGUUCCGGUGAGGCUUUGGGAGAAUGGCCUCAACAUGAGUUUAUCGUGUUUUGCCGUUUGAACUUAGUCAAACCUUAUCACUUAGAGGAAGGAGAAGUCGUAACA
Molecule: ribosomal RNA, 323 nt
Filed under: uncultured eukaryote
Lineage: Eukaryota
Description: partial 18S ribosomal RNA
Rfam family: Eukaryotic small subunit ribosomal RNA
Source: RNAcentral